AGGACGAACGCUGGCGGCGUGCUUAACACAUGCAAGUGGAGCGACGAACCAGGGCUUGCCCUGGGGCAGAGCCGCGAACGGGUGAGUAUCACGUGGGUAACGUACCCCGAUGACUGGGACAACCCGGGGAAACCCGGGCUAAUACCGGAUGUGCCCCCUCACAUCAGUGAGGUGUGUAAAGGAAGCUUCGGCCUCCGCAUCGGGAUCGGCCUGCGGCCCAUUAGCUUGUUGGUGGGGUAAUGGCCUACCAAGGCGACGACGGGUA
RNAcentral lists this ribosomal RNA (265 nucleotides) under uncultured soil bacterium. Its description in RNAcentral is "partial 16S ribosomal RNA". It matches the Rfam family "Bacterial small subunit ribosomal RNA", at positions 26 to 285 of the family's 1533-position model. The record is from RNAcentral.